This 247-nucleotide long non-coding RNA is filed under the name Nicotiana benthamiana. RNAcentral's name for it is "long non-coding RNA (NBEN_LNC001216)". Lineage: Eukaryota; Viridiplantae; Streptophyta; Magnoliopsida; Solanales; Solanaceae. The record is from RNAcentral.
AAAAAUGGAGGGCUAUGGAUCAUAAUUACCUUAUCUGAAGGUCCACAUUUUACUAAUCUUUUGCCUAAUAGAUCCGGGUUUGCUCCAAGAAGAAUAAAAACCGCGUGGAAAUCUUGAUGAAAUCAUUUUGUUGCCAGAGUUUGCUAGGGUUUGGUAACGUGGAAGAAGGGAAGGAGAGGAGGGGGGACCAUGAGAGUGAACUUGCCGGGUUUGGGGGAGUUCCGGCUAGUUUGAAGCGGCAGGGUAG